UUUGAUCAUGGCUCAAAUUGAACGCUGGCGGCAUGCCUCCCUUAUGCAAGUCAAACGGCAGCAUGGAGGACCUUGCUCCUCUGAUGGCGAGGGGCGAACGGGUGAGUAAAGCAUCGAAACGUGCCGGGUAGGGGGGGAUAACGUACCGAAAGUUACCCUAAUACCGCAUACCCCCCGAGGUGGAAAGCAGGGAAUCGCAAGACCUUGCGCUAUACAAGCGGCCGAUGUCAAAUUAGCUAGUUGGAAGGGAAAAGGCCUACCAAGGCAACAAUCUGUAGCGGGUCUGAAAGGAUGAUCCGCCACACUGGGACUGAGACACGGCCCAAACUCCUACGGGAGGCAGCAGUGGGUAUUUUUGGACAAUGGGGAAAACCCUGAUCCAGCCAGGCCGCGGGAGUGAAGAAGGCCUUCGGGUUGUAAAGCUCUUUCGGCUGGAAAGAAAUCGCACAG
This 450-nucleotide ribosomal RNA is filed under the name uncultured bacterium. RNAcentral describes it as "bacterial SSU rRNA". It matches the Rfam family "Bacterial small subunit ribosomal RNA", at positions 12 to 458 of the family's 1533-position model. The record is from RNAcentral.